Brassica napus (rape) is the source of this 1558-nucleotide long non-coding RNA. RefSeq lists it as uncharacterized. NCBI's taxonomy places the organism in Eukaryota, Viridiplantae, Streptophyta, Magnoliopsida, Brassicales, Brassicaceae. The transcript is spliced from 2 exons. The record is from RefSeq and is a predicted model, not a curated record.
CCAACAAGAAUUGCCAGGCUGAAACAUGCAGAGGCAGACAUAUCCUCAGCUAAAAGACAACGAAGCAAAGCGGAGGCAUAUUGGUGGAUCAUUUGUAACAUCAGUAUUUGAUUUGCUAAGGCCAUCGUAUGUGCAGGUUGCAGAGUUUAAAUGCCUUCUCGGUGUUAAAGCUAACACCAAAGAAUGAAUACUUAUGUGUACCUUUUGUAAGCCAUGACCAAACUCUCAAGCUUCAAAAGUACAGUUUGAUGCUACAACCGCUUGGUGACAGUGCACCAGUACUGGAAGGAUCCUAGGUCAGUCUUAGAUUCCAUUAUUUGUGCCUCUAUUCACUGUCUUUAAAGAUAUGAUAUACUGGCUCCUUCUUCUGAUGUUCUGUAUUGUAUCUAAUUCUCUCAUCAAUUAUUACACUAAAGAUAAGGUCAAAUUUCGUUUGUUUGGUUUUUAUAUUCAUCAGUGCCUUCUAAUACCAGUGAACAUAUUUAGGAUUGUCUAGGAUCACUUUGGUUCUUGCUGGGUAUUUUGGUGCUGUAGAAUCAUUGUCUGACAAGAGCUGCAUCACAUAUAACAUGGUAACACCAAGUUUCAACAAAACAAUAAUUGAUCAUUGCUAGAACCUUUCUCUACGAAAUAUUAAUAUGGUGUCCAGAACAUCAUUUAGAUCUUCUAUUCACUUAAGUAUAUGUGGUCGUAUGCCGCAAUCGGUUGUAAGAAGAUACUGCUGUGGUCGUUUGCUUUCAUAGUACACUAAUAAAGGUUCUUCUCGACAUGUGCAGGUGCCUUUUAUACAACUAAAUAAAUGUCUAAUUACCAGGCCGAGGAUGCUCUGUACAUGGACAGUGUUGAUGAAUGAUAAAACGGAAGAUAUUGACGACGACUUAGAUGAGGACUUUCAUGGGGAUGACAUGCCUGCAUCUGACUGCAAUGUCGACGAGUUUGACUACUUCGUAAGCAUAUAUGCCUUUUUAACAAGUCUAAUAUUAUUUGGUUUGUGUCCUUCUUAAAUUCCUACGUUAAUGCAUAGUUAAAUAGCUGAUAUAGGUUCAUGAGUCGAGAUUUUUUUUUUUUUUUAACUAUACAGUGUGGCUUUCUUUGGUUUUGGAGUAAUAAAAUAGCUGAUACUACGCCUUUAACUGUUGUCUGCUUGGUUCACAAAUAAUAUUGCUUUCAGUUGCUAUCGUAUUUCAUUUGUAUAAUCACCUUAGGAUUGCAUGGUCACACAGAAAGGGACCGUUUUUUUUUAUGGCGGAAUUUAAGAUCUAUCAAUGUAAGCAUCCUUCAUUUUCAGGUUAUCAUCGACGCUUUGAAAAAAAAGUUGCAGUCAAUUGAGUACACUUGCAGUCAGGGAUAAAUUUAAGUUGAUAUCAUAAAAUUUUAGAUCAUGUUUCUGGAAAGGAGUAAGAGCGUUCUCUGGUUUUAGUAUGGUUUGUUGAUGUUAUGGUGUGGUUAGUUGAAUGAUAUAUUAUGGUUAGUCACAGGCCUGUUCUUGGAUUCAUUGUAAUUUAAUAAAUAUAUGUGUUUUCUUAAGAUAAAUGGGAAGUUUGGAUGUUAUAAAAGC